This 207-nucleotide ribosomal RNA is filed under the name uncultured bacterium. Its description in RNAcentral is "partial 16S ribosomal RNA". It matches the Rfam family "Bacterial small subunit ribosomal RNA", at positions 568 to 774 of the family's 1533-position model. The record is from RNAcentral.
CGCGUAGGCGGCUUGGCAAGUCGGUCGUGAAAUCCCUCGGCUCAACCGGGGAACUGCGUCCGAUACUGCUGAGCUUGAGUCCCGGAGAGGGUAGCGGAAUUCCCAGUGUAGCGGUGAAAUGCGUAGACAUUGGGAGGAACAUCAGUGGCGAAGGCGGCUACCUGGACGGGUACUGACGCUGAGGCGCGAAAGCGUGGGGAGCAAACA